CGGUCGUACUGGUCCGGCCGGGCCUUUCCCUCUGUGGAACCCCAUGCCCUUCACUGGGUGUGGCGGGGAAACAGGACUUUUACUGUGAAAAAAUUAGAGUGCUCCAGGCAGGCCUAUGCUCGAAUACAUUAGCAUGGAAUAAUAGAAUAGGACGUGUGGUUCUAUUUUGUUGGUUUCUAGGACCGCCGUAAUGAUUAAUAGGGACAGUCGGGGGCAUCCUUAUUCAAUUGUCAGAGGUGAAAUUCUUGGAUUUAUUGAAGACUAAGUACUGCGAAAGCAUUUGCCAAGGAUGUUUUCAUUAAUCAGGAACGAAAGUUAGGGGAUCGAAUACGAUCAGAUACCGUCGUAGUCUUAACCAUAAACUAUGCCGACUAGGGAUCGGACGGUGUUAUAUUUUGACCCGUUUGGCACCUUACGAGAAAUCAAAGUGCUUGGGCUCCAGGGGGAGUAUGGUCGCAAGGCUGAAACUUAAAGAAAUUGACGGAAGGGCACCACCAGGGGUGGAGCCUGCGGCUUAAUUUGACUCAACACGGGGAAACUCACCAGGUCCAGACACUGUGAGGAUUGACAGAUUGAGAGCUCUUUCUUGAUUUUGUGGGUGGUGGUGCAUGCCCGUUAUUAGUUGGUGGAGUGAUUUGUGUGAUUAAUUGCGAUAACGAACGAGACCUUAACCUGCUAAAUAGCCCGUAUUGCUUUGGCAGUACGCUGGCUUCUUAGAGGGACUAUCGG
Molecule: ribosomal RNA, 729 nt
Filed under: uncultured eukaryote
Lineage: Eukaryota
Description: SSU rRNA
Rfam family: Eukaryotic small subunit ribosomal RNA
Source: RNAcentral